This 1464-nucleotide ribosomal RNA is filed under the name uncultured Klebsiella sp. RNAcentral describes it as "bacterial SSU rRNA". It matches the Rfam family "Bacterial small subunit ribosomal RNA". The record is from RNAcentral. Lineage: Bacteria; Pseudomonadati; Pseudomonadota; Gammaproteobacteria; Enterobacterales; Enterobacteriaceae.
AUUGAACGCUGGCGGCAGGCCUAACACAUGCAAGUCGAGCGGUAGCACAGAGAGCUUGCUCUCGGGUGACGAGCGGCGGACGGGUGAGUAAUGUCUGGGAAACUGCCUGAUGGAGGGGGAUAACUACUGGAAACGGUAGCUAAUACCGCAUAAUGUCGCAAGACCAAAGUGGGGGACCUUCGGGCCUCAUGCCAUCAGAUGUGCCCAGAUGGGAUUAGCUGGUAGGUGGGGUAACGGCUCACCUAGGCGACGAUCCCUAGCUGGUCUGAGAGGAUGACCAGCCACACUGGAACUGAGACACGGUCCAGACUCCUACGGGAGGCAGCAGUGGGGAAUAUUGCACAAUGGGCGCAAGCCUGAUGCAGCCAUGCCGCGUGUGUGAAGAAGGCCUUCGGGUUGUAAAGCACUUUCAGCGGGGAGGAAGGCGGUGAGGUUAAUAACCUCAUCGAUUGACGUUACCCGCAGAAGAAGCACCGGCUAACUCCGUGCCAGCAGCCGCGGUAAUACGGAGGGUGCAAGCGUUAAUCGGAAUUACUGGGCGUAAAGCGCACGCAGGCGGUCUGUCAAGUCGGAUGUGAAAUCCCCGGGCUCAACCUGGGAACUGCAUUCGAAACUGGCAGGCUAGAGUCUUGUAGAGGGGGGGUAGAAUUCCAGGUGUAGCGGUGAAAUGCGUAGAGAUCUGGAGGAAUACCGGUGGCGAAGGCGGCCCCCUGGACAAAGACUGACGCUCAGGUGCGAAAGCGUGGGGAGCAAACAGGAUUAGAUACCCUAGUAGUCCACGCUGUAAACGAUGUCGAUUUGGAGGUUGUGCCCUUGAGGCGUGGCUUCCGGAGCUAACGCGUUAAAUCGACCGCCUGGGGAGUACGGCCGCAAGGUUAAAACUCAAAUGAAUUGACGGGGGCCCGCACAAGCGGUGGAGCAUGUGGUUUAAUUCGAUGCAACGCGAAGAACCUUACCUGGUCUUGACAUCCACAGAACUUAGCAGAGAUGCUUUGGUGCCUUCGGGAACUGUGAGACAGGUGCUGCAUGGCUGUCGUCAGCUCGUGUUGUGAAAUGUUGGGUUAAGUCCCGCAACGAGCGCAACCCUUAUCCUUUGUUGCCAGCGGUUAGGCCGGGAACUCAAAGGAGACUGCCAGUGAUAAACUGGAGGAAGGUGGGGAUGACGUCAAGUCACCAUGGCCCUUACGACCAGGGCUACACACGUGCUACAAUGGCAUAUACAAAGAGAAGCGACCUCGCGAGAGCAAGCGGACCUCAUAAAGUAUGUCGUAGUCCGGAUUGGAGUCUGCAACUCGACUCCAUGAAGUCGGAAUCGCUAGUAAUCGUAGAUCAGAAUGCUACGGUGAAUACGUUCCCGGGCCUUGUACACACCGCCCGUCACACCAUGGGAGUGGGUUGCAAAAGAAGUAGGUAGCUUAACCUUCGGGAGGGCGCUUACCACUUUGUGAUUCAUGACUGGGGUGA